Molecule: transfer RNA, 75 nt
Filed under: Minisyncoccota bacterium
Lineage: Bacteria; Bacillati; Minisyncoccota
Description: Candidatus Paceibacterota bacterium tRNA-His
Rfam family: tRNA
About the family: Transfer RNA (tRNA) molecules are approximately 80 nucleotides in length. Their secondary structure includes four short double-helical elements and three loops (D, anti-codon, and T loops). Further hydrogen bonds mediate the characteristic L-shaped molecular structure. tRNAs have two regions of fundamental functional importance: the anti-codon, which is responsible for specific mRNA codon recognition, and the 3' end, to which the tRNAs corresponding amino acid is attached (by aminoacyl-tRNA synthetases). tRNAs cope with the degeneracy of the genetic code in two manners: having more than one tRNA (with a specific anti-codon) for a particular amino acid; and 'wobble' base-pairing, i.e. permitting non-standard base-pairing at the 3rd anti-codon position.
Source: RNAcentral
GUGCCUAUGGUGUAACGGUUAACACUCAAGUUUGUGGAACUUGCAAUUCGGGUUCGAUUCCCGAUAGGCACCCCA